RNA transcript from Physella acuta, 3713 nucleotides. It is a transcript of the gene named ADP-ribosylation factor GTPase-activating protein 2, with no coding region annotated. NCBI's taxonomy places the organism in Eukaryota, Metazoa, Mollusca, Gastropoda, Physidae. The record is from RefSeq and is a predicted model, not a curated record.
AGAACGCUUUUGCCCGUUCCUACACUUUGGUCAUGUGACAUUACUCGGAACGUCAUCAUCAUGGCAGAACACCCGGCUGAGAACGAAAUAAAACAGAUAUUCAAACGUUUAUUAUCAAUACCAACAAAUAAGCAAUGUUUUGAUUGUAGUCACAGUAAUCCAACAUGGGCAAGUGUGACGUAUGGAGUAUUUCUAUGUAUAGAUUGCUCUGCUGUGCACAGAUCACUUGGUGUGCACGUUACAUUUAUACGCUCUACUCAGUUGGACACUAAUUGGACAUGGCUCCAACUGAGAGCUAUGCAAGUUGGAGGAAAUGCCAAUGCCAGAGCAUUUUUCCAGCAACAUGGAUGUACCACAACAGAUGCUCAAAAAAAAUACCAUAGUAGAGCAGCCACUCUAUACAGAGACAAAUUGGUGUCUUCAGCUCAGCAUGCUAUGAGACAGCAUGGUACUAAGCUUCACAUUGAAAGUCACCAUGAAGCUGUGACACCAGAAAAAAAAGAAGUGGAUUUUUUUUCUGAACACACUCUUGAAGCUAAAGAUGAUUUUUCACCAUUCCCCAUGGAAGACAAUGCUAGGUUAGGUGGAGUCUCAACACCCUCACAACCUAAAACAAUUGGGAAUGGAAAACCAGAAGAGGAUCCGACAGCAGGUCCCAAUGUAGAAGCAGCACUGAGCACAUCACCAUCACAAGCUUUGAGUCAAGCAGAGCCCCGCAAAGGUAUAAUAGGGGCUAAGAAACCUGCUUCCGCCAAAAAGGGUAAGGGUCUUGGGGCUCAACGUGUACAAAAAGACUUUAGUGCCAUUGAGAGCAGAGCUCAACAGGUAGAUAAGGAAAAAGAAGAAUUGGCUAAGAAUGUUGCAAUAGCAGAAGCAAAAACAAAAGAAGAUCAAGAAAAACAAAUGGCCAAUAUGAGACUGGCAUACCAAGAUAUGAGUCUUCAGCGGAAGAAAGAAGAAGAAAAAUUAAUGAAAAAUGACCCCAAAAAAGCAGAACAAUUUGAACGUCUAGGAAUGGGUUUUGCUGGAAAUAAAGGUAUUAGUCAUUCAGCUUUGUCAGACAUGCAGACCAUAAGUCAGGAAGCCCCAAGUGGAGGGAGCAAUGCCUCCUCCAGACGAGACUUUGAUGCUUAUGGAGAAAAGCCUCGAGGGGGCAACCGUAAAGAUUUCUUUGAUGAUGAAUUUGAAUUUGUUUCCAGCUUAUCUUCUAGGCGUGAUGACAACAAUUCUAAAACUGAUGAUUAUGGUGGUUGGGGCAACAAAAAUAAAAGUGGUGGCUGGGACAUUGACAAAUUUGACGAUAAACCUAGCCCUUCAGAGACCAUUUCACAGAAAAGCAAUGACAGCAUAGCAUACGAUGAAGACAAAGAAAAUGAGGAAGAGAAUGAAGAUAACUUAAAAGAUGAAUCUUGGUUCAGCAGAAGCAGAAAAAAUCAAGAAUCAAAUUCAUCAGCAAGUUUUGAUAGUAGUGAUACAGCCCAGAAGAAAUUUGGCACAGCAAAAGCUAUUUCAUCUGAUCAGUUCUUUGGUAAUAGAGAUAAUGAUUUCGAAACAAGACAAAACUUAAGUCGGUUGGAAGGCCAGUCAUCAAUAUCAAGUGAUGACUUCUUUGGUGGUGGCACAAGCAGCAGUCGAAGACAAACCUAUAACAGUUCAGCUCCAGAUCUUCAGGAUAUCAAAGACGGUGUCAAGCAGGGAGUCACAAAAGUAGCAGGCAAGAUUUCGAGCCUAGCUAAUGGAGUCAUGUCUAGUCUACAGGAAUGGGGUGAUGACUUCUGACCAAUGUAUGUGUGGGUCAGCUUUUCUUGGGUGCUUUCUUGGAGAAAAGCUGACCCAAUGACCUACCCAGAGCAUGUGAUCGCUAUGGUUGAUGUAAAGACUUUACUAUCUUUGAUCUGCCACAGCUGACUGAAUGCCAUUACUAUCAUCUUUGGGAGACUUUACUCAUGGGUAUGGAUAUACUGCAAGCCAACAAAUGUAUUUUAUCUGUUUUGAGUAAAGAAAAGAAAACUGCAUUUCAGCAAUUUUUUUCAUUCAUUUUGAUGUUAUGUUAGAAUAGCUACAAAAAAUAUGGUCAACUGAAAAGACAUUUAGUGGAUAAAUAAGGAUUUCUCACUUUGAUAAAAGAGCAUUAAAAAAGUUGUUUGAUGUAGACAGUCUAAUAAAAAUUAAAGUUUUUUUUGAGAUGGGGGAGAGGAAGGCUACAUAGUCCAGCUAUCUAUACUGACAUAAUUUCUUAUGUUGUUUAUGUGAUAUAUUGAUAUUGUUAUGUAUAAGUACUAAAAUAUGUUUGCAUCUUUACAUAGGAUGUAUCUUUUAAAAGAAGUUAGAUAAUACAUUUUAGGCAAGCCAAAUGCUAAGAGUGUGAUCUAUUGGAGUGUUAGAAAUUUUAUUUAAAUAUCAGCUUUACAACCUAUUUCUGGCUUGAAAAUAUAGAUGUUAAUCACAAGAUUUUCUCCUAAAUUGAAUCAAUUUGUGUACAAUUUAAAAAUCUCAUUUUGAUUAUUUUCAACAUUUUUCUGCAUGCUCAUUUAACUAGGCCCCUAUCUAUAAAUAUUUUUGUAAAACCCCCAAAAAACCAUUAAGUUGAGUAGAUCAUCAGUUUUUGAUAUAUGGCCUUAUCUUCAUUCAUCAUACACAUUUAAUACUGAAUUCUUUUCUUGUGUUAAGUAAGGCUACAGCAUUGGUUAAAUUUUAACUGCAGAUUUUAAAGACUAGUUUCUUUUUUAUAUGUAAGCUGCAAAUCUAAAAAGCUAAUUUAUUUUGAAUGAAAAAUGUUAAUUUUUUUUAGCUUUGUUUUUACAUUAAUCAUAGUUUCAUCAUCGAGUAUCAAAAUGACCCAUUUAUUCACCACUGGCAUUCAUCACUUUGUUAGAUGAUUAAUGACCUGUAAACUAUUUAACUUCAUUUUCUUUUACUUAAAGCAAACUGGGAUUAUUAUAUAUAGACUUUAAAUUAAAUUUAUGCAAAAAUUAAUCUUUUCAUAAAGCAUCCACAUAUAAUUGAGACAAACACUUAGAAGCCACAUAAAACUAACCACUAAACAAAAAUAUAUACUGAAAUGUUGAAAUGUGGGGCAUGUGUUAGUUUUCUUUCAUAAAAGAGGGACACCACACACACAUGUGGAUUUUUACCGCAUCUGUUAAAACAUAAACCCUGUUUUAAUAAUCUUCUUUGGUCGAUCUUUGAGAUCUUUUCUUUCUACAACCCAUUAAGAAAAAAGAUCCAUGCCACUAAAACCCUCCACAAAUGACAAUUGACAUGAUACGUAUUCAUGCUAAUAACAAAGUGUACAGCCUACAUCCAAAUAGGUACAAAUAACCACCUUAAGAAUAAAGUGUCGUAAAAUCGGCUUUCAGAAUUAUUUUUCAAUACAACUGGAGCAAAUAACUUAAGUUUCCAAUUUUUAAAUUGUACCUGUUUGCUAAUUACAAAUUUAAUGUGUUAGAUUUUGGGUUUUAAAAUUACAAUGUAUGUAGUGAAGAAUAUUUCUUGGUGUAAAUACUUAAAACUGUAAAGAUUUUAAUUUUAACUUUGGUCAGAUCAUAAUUAUCUUGGCAGUGACAUGUUAGGCAUUUGUAAAUCUUAAAUAGUUUCACCCUGAUGAUGAAUUCCAUUUAGUUUAGGUAGGUUAUUUCAUAAUGUUAUUAUUGAUGCUUUUUUUUUUUCAUGGAGGGGUGUUUUCAUUCAAUAAAAUGUAUAUUUAUGCUCAA